This 449-nucleotide ribosomal RNA is filed under the name uncultured haloarchaeon. RNAcentral's name for it is "bacterial SSU rRNA". It matches the Rfam family "Archaeal small subunit ribosomal RNA", at positions 366 to 814 of the family's 1478-position model. The record is from RNAcentral. Lineage: Archaea; Methanobacteriati; Methanobacteriota; Halobacteria; Halobacteriales; Halobacteriaceae.
UGCGAUAAGGGGAUCCCAAGUGCGUAGGCAUAGAGCCUACGCUUUUGUCCACCCUAGGGUGGUGGACGAAUAAGGGCUGGGCAAGACCGGUGCCAGCCGCCGCGGUAAUACCGGCAGCCCGAGUGAUGGCCGAUCUUAUUGGGCCUAAAGCGUCCGUAGCUGGCCGCACAAGUCCAUCGGGAAAUCCACCUGCUCAACAGGUGGGCGUCCGGUGGAAACUGUGUGGCUUGGGACCGGAAGGCGCGACGGGUACGUCCGGGGUAGGAGUGAAAUCCCGUAAUCCUGGACGGACCGCCGAUGGCGAAAGCACGUCGCGAAAACGGAUCCGACAGUGAGGGACGAAAGCUAGGGUCUCGAACCGGAUUAGAUACCCGGGUAGUCCUAGCCGUAAACACUGCCUGCUAGGUGUGGCACCCACUACGAGUGGGUGCUGUGCCGUAGGGAAGCCG